GAUGAACGCUGGCGGCGUGCCUAAUACAUGCAAGUCGAGCGAACGGACGAGAAGCUUGCUUCUCUGAUGUUAGCGGCGGACGGGUAAGUAACACGUGGAUAACCUACCUAUAAGACUGGGAUAACUUCGGGAAACCGGAGCUAAUACCGGAUAAUAUUUUGAACCGCAUGGUUCAAAAGUGAAAGACGGUCUUGCUGUCACUUAUAGAUGGAUCCGCGCUGCAUUAGCUAGUUGGUAAGGUAACGGCUUACCAAGGCAACGAUGCAUAGCCGACCUGAGAGGGUGAUCGGCCACACUGGAACUGAGACACGGUCCAGACUCCUACGGGAGGCAGCGGUAGGGAAUCUUCCGCAAUGGGCGAAAGCCUGACGGAGCAACGCCGCGUGAGUGAUGAAGGUCUUCGGAUCGUAAAACUCUGUUAUUAGGGAAGAACAUAUGUGUAAGUAACUGUGCACAUCUUGACGGUACCUAAUCAGAAAGCCACGGCUAACUACGUG
Molecule: ribosomal RNA, 497 nt
Filed under: uncultured bacterium
Lineage: Bacteria
Description: partial 16S ribosomal RNA
Rfam family: Bacterial small subunit ribosomal RNA
Source: RNAcentral